RNAcentral lists this ribosomal RNA (449 nucleotides) under uncultured bacterium. RNAcentral describes it as "bacterial SSU rRNA". It matches the Rfam family "Bacterial small subunit ribosomal RNA", at positions 29 to 521 of the family's 1533-position model. The record is from RNAcentral.
AACGAACGCUGGCGGCAUGCCUAACACAUGCAAGUCGAACGAGAUCCUUCGGGGUCUAGUGGCGCACGGGUGCGUAACGCGUGGGAAUCUGCCCUUAGGUACGGAAUAACUCAGGGAAACUUGUGCUAAUACCGUAUGAUGUCUUCGGACCAAAGAUUUAUCGCCUAGGGAUGAGCCCGCGUUGGAUUAGCUAGUUGGUGGGGUAAAGGCCUACCAAGGCGACGAUCCAUAGCUGGUCUGAGAGGAUGAUCAGCCACACUGGGACUGAGACACGGCCCAGACUCCUACGGGAGGCAGCAGUGGGGAAUAUUGGACAAUGGGCGAAAGCCUGAUCCAGCAAUGCCGCGUGAGUGAAGAAGGCCUUAGGGUUGUAAAGCUCUUUUACCCGGGAAGAUAAUGACUGUACCGGGAGAAUAAGCCCCGGCUAACUCCGUGCCAGCCGCCGCCGU